UACGAGGGGGCAAGCGUUGUUCGGAAUUAUUGGGCGUAAAGGGCGCGGUAGGCGGUGUCGCAAGUCCGUGGUGAAAUCUCUAGGCUCAACUUAGAGACUGCCGCGGAAACUGCGGUGCUUGAGUGUGGGAGAGGUGCGUGGAAUUCCCGGUGUAGCGGUGAAAUGCGUAGAUAUCGUAAGGAAGACCAGUGGCGAAGGCGGAUCUCUGGACAGUUACUGACACUGAGGCACGAAGGCCAGGGGAGCAAACGGGGAUUAGAAACCCCUU
This 268-nucleotide ribosomal RNA is filed under the name uncultured bacterium. RNAcentral's name for it is "partial 16S ribosomal RNA". It matches the Rfam family "Bacterial small subunit ribosomal RNA", at positions 524 to 790 of the family's 1533-position model. The record is from RNAcentral.